RNAcentral lists this long non-coding RNA (542 nucleotides) under Phasianus colchicus (ring-necked pheasant). RNAcentral's name for it is "lncRNA (ENSPCLG00000000009.1)". The record is from RNAcentral. Lineage: Eukaryota; Metazoa; Chordata; Aves; Galliformes; Phasianidae.
GAAUUUAGGAGGCAGGAAAUGUUUAAUUGUCCCGGGAUUCCUUCUCUGAAGUGAGUCUGAAAUGAUCUCCAUAAAGAUCCAGAUCCCUAUGAAAGAGAUGGAGAAACUGCAGCAUGGUACAAGGUCAUGCUUUUUACUUUCCUAUCUCUUCAUCUAUAUCCCCAGUGAAGACUGAAGGCCAAAUCUAUUCACAACAUUCCAUGCCAAGACUUACCAUUAUGGAACAGAGAAGAAAAAGGCUUAUCUCUGGUAUUGUAUAAAGACUGCAGCAUGACAGUUUUGUCUCUUGUUACUAUGACUGAAUGUUUAAGUUGCCUGUAGCUUCCAGAUCCUGAUAUGUUGUGAUGUUCCAAGGGAGCUCCCACCUGUUACACUCGUAUGCCUUUGUACUUUUUGUUAUACGUUUCUGUGCUUGUCUCAGUUAAAAAUAACUUCUUUGCAUUUCUGACCAUUUCUGUAGAUUACCAAGAAAACAUGAAUCUUGAUCAUUUCUGAAGUUUCUGAAAAUGUUUCUGAUAAUGCCAUAUGCUUGUUCUAAAUAG